AGACCAUGAUGGGGGCACUGUCUUAGCAUACUCUUGAAUCUGUUCUAAGCUUUAAAUAAUGAUUCUGAGUCUAUCUGUUUGAAGCUGGAAAUCACGUUCCUCAUGU
Molecule: small nucleolar RNA, 106 nt
Organism: Zingiber officinale
Lineage: Eukaryota; Viridiplantae; Streptophyta; Magnoliopsida; Zingiberales; Zingiberaceae
Source: RefSeq, a predicted model, not a curated record